Molecule: long non-coding RNA, 28015 nt
Filed under: Triticum aestivum (bread wheat)
Lineage: Eukaryota; Viridiplantae; Streptophyta; Magnoliopsida; Poales; Poaceae
Description: long non-coding RNA (TAES_LNC006993)
Source: RNAcentral
CCAUAUAUCACCACCACAUCAUCAUCGUCGCUGUUGCCAUAUACCACCACCACAUAUUCACCGCCAAUCCGAAUCCAUAUACGCCACCACAUAUCCGCCGCCAUCACGCCAAUCCGAGUUCACCUGCAACAUAUAUCCGCCACCUGUCCGUGUUCCACCAGAUUCAUCUCCGCCACCUGUCCGAGUUCCACCAGAUUCAUCUCCACCACCAGUUCUAGUCCGAGUCCAGUAAUUGUUGCAUUAUUCUCGAUUUCCAGAUCACGCGACACUCCGAGUCGUGACAGAGAAGGACUCCCCAACUUCCGAGCCAUCCGCAGAAGAAAAAUAGUUCCAAUUUCAAAAAAAAAACUAAGUCUGGAAAAUUCUGGCUAGGCAGUUUUUAGACCAUUUGUACACUUUUUCGAAAAAAAUUGUUGCGGAGCAAAAAAAAAGGAAAAAAAGUGCAAAAAAAAGAGAAAAAAAAAUUCAGAGUGUGCUCCUCCCUUGUUUACGUGCCGCGCCGUGAUUUUGUUGGUGUUCUAGGCUCGCGUCUCUAGCACAGUCUAGCCUAGGACCAGCACAGUACCGUCGUUGAGCAUUUAUUCAACUUUGCAUCUCUGAAUUGAUUAUUGCUGACCCUUUUUGCUACCAUAUUAUAAGCCUUCCCAGCUCCACAUACAUCUACGUCGUGCGUUUGACUCUCCCUGGUAAUCGCUCUAUCCAAGCUUUGAGAGUUUUGACUACAACGGUUGCCGAUCACCGCCUGUUGCUGGGUAAGAACUGGUAAGAAUUUGAGUUUUGCUUGACGGAUUUGUGACACCCACCACCACCACUUGUUCGUAGUCUGUAGGAUCAUAUUCUUGUGUAUUUCUAUUGCUGCUAACCAUGCCAGGAUCACAAGCCGACGAGAUUGACUGGGAGAAUUUAUCGAACAAGGAGCUUCAUGAUAAGUUUCAGCAAAUGAUGACUGAACAGGUGCAAGAUGUGCUGAACAAUUUUGAAGAGGCCAUGGAGAAGAUCACUGGCCUUGAGAAGACGUUCGAAACAAAGCUCGAUAACAAGUUUAAUGAAUUGCUCGCGCGUCUUCCACCACCACCACCCGCUGCACCUAACGCACCUCUCCAACAACAACAACAACGACUACCUCCACGUCGUGAAACAGACCUCCGCCGAGCAAGCCGUGUUCCUCUUGCGUUUGGCCAAACUGUUGGUGCUGCUGUUGAUACUUCUGUGGCUCCUGCUGCUGAUGCGGAGGAGGAUGAUUAUGUGGGAGAUUAUGAGGAUGAGGUUGAUCAAAAUCAGCACUACGUGCAGCCACCUGUACCACCACCAGCAGGUCGACCUCAGGUAUAUAUUCGUAAUGGUAGGCCUGCACCACCACCUCAGGUACGAGAUGAUGUCCAUAUUCCUAAACUGAAAUUGAAUAUUCCACCAUUUGAGGGUAGAUAUGUUCCUGAUAUAUAUCUUACUUGGGAGUUAGAAACUGAACAACGAUUUACAUGUUUACAAUAUCCUGAGGAGAGACGAGUUGCUGCUGCUGUUUGUGCUUUCACUAGUUUUGCAUGUGUAUGGUGGUCUGAACAUUGUAGAUUAUAUCCUAUUCCAACUACUUGGGCUGCUUUGAAAACUGCUAUGCGUAUGCGUUGGGUUCCACCAUAUUAUCAACGUGAAUUGCUUCAAAAAUUGCAGCGUUUAAGACAAGGAAAAAAUUCUGUAGAAGAAUAUUAUCAGGAAUUACAAACUGGCAUGAUUAGAUGUGGUAUUGUUGAGGAGAAUGAAGCUAUGCUUGCACGUUUUCUGGGUGGAUUAAAUAGAGAGAUUCAGACCAUUCUAGACUAUAAGGAGUAUACUAAUAUCACUCGUUUAUUCCAUCUUGCUUGUAAAGCUGAACGUGAAGUGCAGGAUCGACAAGCAUUGGGGCGAACUAACUUUUCUGCAGGCUGAUAGAGGCAAAGGUGUCCCGUCUUUCGAUGAGAUGAUGGAUAUCGCUUUGGUGGAAGUCGACUUUGACGAUCCGACUACGAACGUGCGAGGACGUCGCGCCUUAGCAAUCGCUAAACCAACUCCGAGAGGUUAUUGACCACGCCGGAGCACGAUCAACCUGACCACGAGGGUCUGUUUCCUGCGAGCAAAUGAAGAACAAGCAAGAAACUAAGAUUGCAAUCUGGAUAUUGCGAAUAUAAGAUGAAAGCUUUAUUGAUCAAGGUGGGGUUCUGUGACGCCUUUGUCUGGUCGUUGAACACAAACGAAGUACGCGAAGUUGCAGCUAUGGCGAACUUUUAAUCUAAACAAAACCCAAAGUCUAAACGAUGCCCUAAGGGCUGUAUAUAUGGAGGAAGAGGGGGAGAAUUUCGUGGCCCUUGGUGGAGGGGUCCGAAAUCAACCCUAUCUCUUGUUUUCCCACACAUACGGACUCUAAAAAUAGCCUAUACUUAUGUAUUUCGAAAUUACAUGGGCCUGGCCCAAUAAUAAGGUGACGCAGCACCUAAAAUAGCCUCGGGACGAAAUUUAUGAAGUGGCGUCUUGUAUAUUUCGUCCAAGGCUUCAUGCACCCAUUAUGGUGGCUUCAAAGUCCUGAAAUCAUCACUUGUAACUCCGUUCUUGUUUCCCUUGCGCAUGCCAUCAUCUCCAUGCUUGUUCUUGCUCCAAUGUUCAUCCUUCUCCAAGCUAGGCCCUUCAUUUGUAAGCAAAACAAAUGUAUCCAAUUUAGGCAGCAUCAUAUUCUCAUGAACAUUAGAAUCAUUACCAAGAAACGAAAGUACCUGGUAAUUUAGUUGGCGUGCACGAGCUCUAGUAAUUGGUCCAGUAUGUAUAGCAGCAGGGGCUGUGGGUGUAACAAUUGUAUUGAUGUCCUCAUCAAUACUAUAAGCCUUCCCAGCUCCACAUACAUCUACGUCGUGUGUUUGACUCUCCCUGGUAAUCGCUCUAUCCAAGCUUUGAGAGUUUUUGACUACAACGGUUGCCGAUCACCGCCUGCUGCUGGGUAAGAACUGGUAAGAAUUUGAGAUUUGCUUGACGGAUUUGUGAUACACCACCACCACUUCUUAGUAGUCUGUAGGAUCAUAUUCUUGUGUGUUUCUAUUGCUGCUAACCAUGCCAGGAUCACAAGCCGACGAGAUUGACUGGGAGAAUUUAUCGAACAAGGAGCUUCAUGAUAAGUUUCAGCAAAUGAUGACUGAACAGGUGCAAGAUGUGCUGAACAAUUUUGAAGAGGCCAUGGAGAAGAUCACUGGCCUUGAGAAGACGUUCGAAACAAAGCUCGAUAACAAGUUUAAUGAAUUGCUCGCGCGUCUUCCACCACCACCACCCGCUGCACCUAACGCACCUCUCCAACAACAACAACAACAACGACUACCUCCACGUCGCGAAACAAACCUCCGCCGAGCAAGCCGUGUUCCUCUUGCGUUUGGCCAAACUGUUGGUGCUGCUGUUGAUACUUCUGUGGCUCCUGCUGCUGAUGCGGAGGAGGAUGAUUAUGUGGGAGAUUAUGAGGAUGAGGUUGAUCAAAAUCAGCACUACGUGCAGCCACCUGUACCACCACCAGCAGGUCGACCUCAGGUAUAUAUUCGUAAUGGUAGGCCUGCACCACCACCUCAGGUACGAGAUGAUGUCCAUAUUCCUAAACUGAAAUUGAAUAUUCCACCAUUUGAGGGUAGAUAUGUUCCUGAUAUAUAUCUUACUUGGGAGUUAGAAACUGAACAACGAUUUACAUGUUUACAAUAUCCUGAGGAGAGACGAGUUGCUGCUGCUGUUUGUGCUUUCACUAGUUUUGCAUGUGUAUGGUGGUCUGAACAUUGUAGAUUAUAUCCUAUUCCAACUACUUGGGCUGCUUUGAAAACUGCUAUGCGUACGCGUUGGGUUCCACCAUAUUAUCAACGUGAAUUGCUUCAAAAAUUGCAGCGUUUAAGACAAGGGAAAAAAUUUGUAGAAGAAUAUUAUAAGGAAUUACAAACUGGCAUGAUUAGAUGUGGUAUUGUUGAGGAGAAUGAAGCUAUGCUUGCACGCUUUCUGGGUGGAUUAAAUAGAGAGAUUCAGACCAUUCUAGACUAUAAGGAGUAUACUAAUAUCACUCGUUUAUUCCAUCUUGCUUGUAAAGCUGAACGUGAAGUGCAGGAUCGACAAGCAUUGGGGCGAACUAACUUUUCUGCAGGCCGACCUUCAUCAUGGACACCACGUGCAUCUUCUACUUCAACUGCACCAGCACCUCAGUCACGUGCCUCCUCCAGUCGUGAUACAAGAAAACAGGCACAACCACCAUUAUCUGCCAAGAGCGCACCUGCUAGGCCUUCACAGAGUUCUUCUUCUUCCAUGGCAUCAACAGGGCACACAAGUGAUAUUAUUUGUCGUCGUUGUAAGGGAGGAGGUCAUUAUGCGAGAGAAUGCAAAUCUCCGCGUGUGAUGAUUGCUACCGCGGAUGGUGGAUAUGAGUCCGCUAGUGAAUAUGAUGAGGAGACUUUGGCUCUUAUUACACGUGAAGAACAUGGUGGAGAUGAUUCUGAUCAUGAGACGCAAUACAUGGCUCCUGAAGACGCUGACAGGUAUGAAUGUUUAGUUGCUCAACGUGUUUUGAGUGUGCAGAUCACACAAGCUGAGCAAAAUCAGAGGCACAAUUUGUUCGAUACCAAGGGAGUUGUGAAGGAACGUUCUGUGCGCGUCAUCAUAGACGAAGGGAGCUGCAACAACUUGGCUAGCUUGGAGAUGGUGGAGAAGCUUUCUCUCACCACAAGACCACAUCCACAUCCUUACUACAUCCAAUGGUUCAACAACAGCGGCAAGGUUAAGGUAACACGUACAGUUCGUGUGCAUUUUAGUAUCUCUACAUAUGCUGAUUAUGUUGAUUGUGAUGUGGUACCUAUGCAAGCAUGUUCCUUAUUACUUGGUAGACCAUGGCAAUUUGAUAAAAAUUCUGUACACCAUGGUAGAAACAAUCACUAUACUCUUGUUCAUAAGGAUAAAAAUAUUACUUUGCUACCUAUGACUCCUGAUUCCAUUUUGAAAGAUGAUAUUAAUAGAGCUAAUAAAGCAAAACAAGAGACGAAUAAGAGUGAAAAUCAGAUUGUGGCAAAAGAAUUUGAGCAACAAAUGAAGCCUAAUAAUAAACCAUCUAGUGUUGCUUCUGAAAUUAAAUUGAAAAGUGCAUGUUUAUUUGCCACCAAAUCUAAUAUUGAUGAGCUAGAUUUCAGCAAAUCUGUUUGCUAUGCUUUUGUGUGCAAAGAGGCAUUAUUUUCAUUCGAGGACGUGCCUUCCUCUUUGCCUCCUGCUGUCACUAACAUUUUGCAGGAGUUUACUGACGUCUUUCCACAAGACGUGCCACCGGGAUUACCGCCUAUUCGAGGGAUUGAGCAUCAGAUUGACUUAAUUCCCGGUGCUUCACUGCCAAGCCGUGCACCAUACCGUACCAAUCCAGAGGAGACGAAGAAAAUUAUGCGUCAAGUACAAGAGCUUCUCGACAAAGGUUAUAUACGCGAAUCCCUUAGUCCUUGUGUUGUUCCUAUUAUUCUAGUGCCGAAAAAGGAUGGUACAUCACGUAUGUGUGUUGAUUGUAGAGGCAUUAAUAAUAUUACUAUUCGUUAUCGUCAUCCUAUUCCUAGGCUAGAUGAUAUGCUUGAUGAAUUGAGUGGCUCUACAAUAUUCUCCAAAGUUGAUUUGCGUAGUGGAUACCAUCAAAUCCAUAUGAAAUUGGGAGAUGAAUGGAAAACAUCAUUCAAAACAAAGUUUGGAUUAUAUGAGUGGUUAGUCAUGCCUUUUGGGUUAACUAAUGCACCUAGUACUUUCAUGAGAUUAAUGAACGAAGUUUUACGUGCUUUCAUUGGACGAUUUGUGGUAGUUUACUUUAAUGACAUAUUGAUUUAUAGCAGAUCUUUGGAAGAACAUUUGGAACAUUUACGUGCUGUUUUUAUUGCUCUACGUGAUGCACGUUUGUUUGGUAACCUUGGGAAGUGCACCUUUUGCACCGACCGAGUAUCUUUUCUUGGCUAUGUUGUUACUCCACAGGGAAUUGAAGUUGAUAAAGCCAAGAUUGAAGCUAUUGAGAGUUGGCCGCAACCCAAAACGGUCACACAAGUGAGCAGUUUUCUUGGCCUCGCUGGAUUCUAUAGGCGUUUUGUGAGAGAUUUCAGCACCAUUGCUGCACCUCUCAAUGAGCUUACAAAGAAAGAUGUGCCUUUUCUUUGGGGUACCGCACAGGAAGAAGCCUUCUCGGUAUUGAAAGAUAAGUUGACACAUGCUCCUUUACUCCAACUUCCUGAUUUUAAUAAGACUUUUGAGCUUGAAUGUGAUGCUAGUGGAAUUGGAUUAGGAGGUGUGUUAUUACAAGAUGGCAAACCUGUUGCAUACUUUUCUGAAAAAUUGAGUGGGCCUAGUCUGAAUUAUUCUACUUAUGAUAAAGAAUUAUAUGCUCUUGUUCGGACUUUAGAAACAUGGCAACAUUAUUUACGGCCCAAAGAAUUUGUUAUACAUUCUGAUCAUGAAUCUUUGAAACAUAUUAAAAGUCAAGCUAAACUGAAUCGUAGACAUGCUAAAUGGGUUGAAUUCAUUGAGACUUUUCCUUAUGUCAUUAAACACAAGAAGGGAAAAGAAAAUGUUAUUGCUGAUGCAUUGUCUCGCCGCUAUACUAUGCUUUCACAACUUGACUUCAAAAUAUUUGGUUUGGAGACCAUCAAAGAUCAAUAUGUGCAUGAUGCUGAUUUUAAAGAUGUAAUGCAGAAUUGUAAAGAAGGAAGAAUGUGGAACAAGUUCGUCGUUAACGAUGGAUUUGUGUUUCGUGCUAACAAGCUAUGCAUUCCAGCUAGCUCCGUUCGUCUUUUGUUGUUGCAGGAGGCGCAUGGAGGAGGAUUAAUGGGACACUUUGGCGUGAAGAAGACGGAGGACGUACUUGCUACACAUUUCUUUUGGCCAAAGAUGAGACGGGAUGUUGAGCGUUUUAUUGCUCAAUGCACUACAUGUCAAAAAGCUAAGUCAUGACUCAAUCCUCAUGGUUUAUAUAUGCCUUUGCGUGUACCUAGUGUUCCUUGGGAGGAUAUAUCUAUGGACUUUGUUUUAGGUUUACCUCGAACAAAGAAGGGGAGGGAUAGCAUAUUUGUUGUCGUGGAUAGAUUCUCGAAAAUGGCACACUUUAUACCAUGUCAUAAAAGCGAUGAUGCUAUCAAUGUUGCUGAUUUGUUCUUUCAUGAAAUUAUUCGCUUGCAUGGUGUGCAGAAUACUAUUGUUUCAUAUCGUGAUACUAAAUUUCUUAGCCACUUUUGGAGAUGUUUAUGGGCUAAGUUGGGGACUAAACUGCUUUUUAGUACUACUUGUCACCCCCAAACUGAUGGACAAACUGAAGUAGUCAAUAGAACGUUGUCUACUAUGCUUAGGGCUGUUUUGAAGAAUAAUAAGAAAAUGUGGGAGGAAUGCUUGCCUCAUAUUGAAUUUGCUUAUAAUCGUUCAUUGCAUUCUACUACUAAGAUGUGCCCUUUUGAAGUUGUGUAUGGUUUCCUACCUCGUGCACCUAUUGAUUUGUUGCCUCUUCCAUCUUCGGAGAAGGUUAAUUUUGAUGCUAAACAACGUGCUGAAUUGAUUUUAAAAAUGCAUGAGUUAACUAAGGAAAACAUUGAGCGUAUGAAUGCUAAAUAUAAACUUGCUGGAGAUAAGGGUAGAAAACAUGUUGUGUUUGCACCUGGAGAUCUUGUUUGGUUACAUUUGCGUAAGGAUAGAUUUCCUGAUUUGCGCAAAUCAAAGCUAAUGCCAUGUGCUGAUGGUCCCUUUAAGGUGUUUGAGAAAAUAAAUGAUAAUGCAUAUAAACUUGAGCUGCCAGCAGAUUUUGGGGUUAGUCCCACUUUUAACAUUGCAGAUUUGAAGCCUUAUUUGGGUGAGGAAGAUGAGUUUCCGUCGAGGACGACUUCAUUUCAAGAAGGGGAGGAUGAUGAGGACAUCAAUACCAUUGUUACACCCACAGCCCCUACUGCUACAUAUAUGGGACCAAUUACUAGACCUCACGCACGCCAAUUAAAUUAUCAGGUACUUUCGUUUCUUGGUAAUGAUUCUAAUGUUCAUGAGAAUAUGAUGCUGCCUAAAUUGGAUACAUUUGUUUUGCUUACAAAUGAAGGGCCUAGCUUGGAGAAGGAUGAACAUUGGAGCAAGAACAAGCAUGGAGAUGAUGCCAUGCGCAAGGGGAACAAGAACGGAGUUACAAGUGAUGAUUUUAGGACUUUGAAGCCACCUUAAUGGGUGCAUGAAGACUUGGACGAAAUAUACAAGAUGCCACUUCAUAAAUUUCGUCCCGAGGCUAUUAUAGGUGCUGCGUCACCUUUUUAUUGGGCCAGGCCCAUGUAAUUUCGAAAUACAUAAGUAUAGGCUAUUUUUAGAGUCCGUAUGUGUGGGGAAACAAGAGAUAGGGUUGAUUUCGGACCCCUCCACCAAGGGCCACGAAAUUCCCCCUCUCUUUCUCCAUAUAUACAGCCCUUAGGGCACCGUUUAGACUUUGGGUUUUGUUUAGAUUAAAAGUUCGCCAUAGCUGCAACUUCGCGUACUUCGUUUGUGUUCAACGACCAGACAAAGGCGUUACAGAACCCCACCUUGAUCAAUAAAGCUUUCAUCUUAUAUUCGCAAUAUCCAGAUUGCAAUCUUAGUUUCUUGCUUGUUCUUCGUUUGCUCGCAGGAAACAGACCCUCGUGGUCACGUUGAUCAUGCUCCGGCGUGGUCAAUAACCUCUCGGAGUUGGUUUAGCGAUUGCUAAGGCGCGACGUCCUCACACGUUCGUAGUCGGAUCGUCAAAGUCGACUUCCACCAAAGCGAUAUCCAUCAUCUCAUCGAAAGACGGGACACCUUUGCCUCAAUCAGUGGGGUUCUGUGACGCCUUUGUCUGGUCAUUGAACACAAACAAAGUACGCGAAGUUGUAGCUAUGGCGAACUUUUAAUCUAAACAAAACCCAAAGUCUAAACGGUGCCCUAAGGUUGUAUAUAUGGAGGAAGAGGGGGGGAUUUCGUGGGGUCCGAAACCAACCCUAUCUCUUGUUUCCCCCGCACAUACGGACUCUAAAAAUAGCCUAUACUUAUGUAUUUUGAACUUACAUGGGCCUGGCCCAAUAAAAAGGUGACGCAACACCUAAAAUAGCCUCUGGACGAAAUUUAUGAAGUGGCACCUUGUAUAUUUCGUCCAAGGCUUCAUGCACUCGUUAUGGUGGCUUCAAAGCCCUGAAAUCAUCACUUGUAACUUCGUUCUUUUUCCCCUUGCGCAUGCCAUCAUCUUCAUGCUUGUUCUUGCUCCAAUGUUCAUCCUUCUCCAAGCUAGGCCCUUCAUUUGUAAGCAAAACAAAUGUAUCCAAUUUAGGGAGCAUCAUAUUCUCAUGAACAUUAGAAUCAUUACCAAGAAACGAAGUACCUGGUAAUUUAGUUCGCGUGCUCGAGCUCUAGUAAUUGGUCCAGUAUGUAUAGCAGCAGGGGUUGUGGGUGUAACAAUGGUAUUGAUGUCCUCAUCAGAUUUGUCGUCGCCGCCGCCGGAGUCCGCCGCCGCCGCGCCGCACUUCCGCCGCCCCGCCGCCAGCCCCGCCGCUGAUGCUAGAGCCCACCGACGCCGGAGUACGCCGCCUCCGCCGCCGUCCCGAUCCGCGAGGUAGCCGUCGGUUUUAUUCUAAAAAUCGUUCGGUUUUUAUUCGAAAACCUAGAUGCGUUUUUUAUUAGAUCGGUUUUAUUUUUUCCCGGUUUAGUUAUUUAGCGAACGCCCGUUCAUACAUUCGUUUUUUACGAACGGUUUUCACCCGUUAGCCGCAGAUAGCGAACGUUCGUUCGUUAGCCUGUUCGUCAGUUUUUCUUUUUCCAGGGUUUUUCCACGAUUAUUGUCGAUCGUGAUUCCUGCCCUGAUUUUCGUUUUAGUUUAUCUUUUCGCUCGUUUAUCGGAAUCAGGCGAUUCAAGCGCCUAGUUCUUCAUCUCGAAGCCCUCUUUAUGUUUAAUCAACUUGAACAAGAUUUUGGUACUGUAAAAUUUGACUUUAGUCCAGAUUAGUAAACGAAUCUUGUUUUUUCGCAGUUUGAGUUUCGUUGCUUCGUUUGAUUUGAUUCUUUUUGCAAACCGGAGCUUUUAAGUUGAACUUUCUGGUUAGAUCUCUUAUUUGAGUUUUACCCGUGCUUCUAGUUGAGUGCUUAUUGUAUGCUUGUUUGUUUGCGAUAGAGUACCCGGAGUGCAAAGCAUGUUACUACGAGUCUCGAGGUUUCACGGACCAUUAGCAAGGCAAGUAACACUUUGAUCAUAUCUCUUUACUACCCAGUUUUAUUGCAUUAGAUCAAUCCUCAAACAAUUGCAUGGUUAGGAUGUGAUUAAUAUGUGGGUUUUGGGAAGUAGAUGAUGAGGUAGAACCUAUUGCCCUGUUUAUUAUCAAACCUUUGGGAGUUACUUCUAAGUUAUGCUUAUAUUGCUAUGUUAUGCUCGUAGACGUGAUUUGGUUCGAGUGAUUCAUGACAGAUGUGAGAGUUAUUAUUAAUGGUUAACUUAAGGUGGCAACUUUAAUACACAUCUGGGUGGAUUGCUUGAGGCACCCUGGAGUACCCAGUGGUUGUCAGGGCACCUGGAGAAUCCAGUGUUGUCCAAGGAUAUCCCGGAGUACCCGUGUGAUCAUCCUACGGUCCGCCACCCAGGCUCAAAGGGAUCAUAAGAUUAUUCAUGCUAGAAACUUCUGUGUGCAGCCACAAGCUAUUAUGGGCUCUAGCAUAGUUGAGUAAGUUGCAAGAUCUCUUUCAGUGGUGGGCUAGCAAAUGUAGGGGAAAGUAGGUGUAACUGUCCACCCAGAGUAAAGAGUUAUUGUUUCAGAAAGACUGUGUCUUGAUUCUCCGACCAUGGAUGUAUUAGAGUCUUGUGGGGAAAAGUGCACAAACCUCUGUAGAGUGUUCAAACUAAUCAUGGUUAGCCGUGUCCCCGGUUAUGGACGUUUUGAGUAUCUAGUUCUUGGAUUGUCAUGUUGAUCUCAUCACUCUAAAUAUAAUUUGUCUGGGUUUUAAAUGAUGAUGCUUAAUUGGGAUUGAGUUGGAGGAACCUUCUCAAUGUUUAACAACCACCAUGAUAGUUAAAUAAAUUUAUUCCUUUGUUGUAGGGAAAAAUUGGCUUUAUGCAAAAUUGUAAUCAUAGAGCUUUCCACCAGCCAUAUAUGCAUGUAGUGAUAGCAUUUAUUCUAUUCAUUACUCUAUGUGUUACAUUGCCAGCAUAUUCCAUGUGCUGACCCAUUUCGGGGUGCAACGUUCAUGUUGCAGACUUUUCAGACGACGAGUAAGGUGCCAUAGGUCAUUGUCUUUCACUCAGCUAUGUCGUUGGAGUUGAUGGACUCACUUUAUCUUCCAAGCCUUGCGCUGUUAUCGUAUUUAGAUGGCCUUAAUCCAUAUUAUUGUAAUAAGUUCUCUUUUGAGACUACUCGAUGUAAUAAGUGUGUGAUUGUUGCUCUGUUAUAAAUCCUCAAGUACUGUGCGUGUCAGCAUUACCGAUCCAGGGAUGACACUGAUGCACAGAUAUCAGACUGUUUGAGGUCUGGUUGCUACACAAGUAUAUCCUCUGUCUUCUUCACGCCAAAGUGUCCCAUUAAUCCUCCUCCAUGCGCCUCCUGCAACAACAAAAGACAAACAGAGCUAGCUGGAAUGCAUAGCUUGUUAGCACGAAACACAAAUCCAUCGUUAACGAUGAACUUGUUCCAUGUUCUCCCUUCUUUACAAUUAUGAUAUACAUCUUUAAAAUCAACAUCAUGCACAUAUUGAUCUUUGAUGGUCUCCGAACAAAAUAUCUUGAAGUCAAGUUGUGAAAGCAUAAUAUAGCGACGAGACAAUGCAUCAGCAAUAAUAUUUUCUUUACCCUUCUUGUGUUUGAUGACAUAAGGGAAAGUCUCAAUGAAUUCAACCCAUUUAGCAUGUCUAUGAUUCAGUUUAGCUUGAGUUUUAAUAUGUUUCAAAGAUUCAUGAUCUGAAUGUAUAACAAAUUCUUUGGGCCAUAAAUAAUGUUGCCAUGUUUCUAAAGUCCGAACAAGAGCAUAUAAUUCUUUAUCAUAAGUAGAAUAAUUCAGACUAGGCCCACUCAAUUUUUCGGAAAAGUAUGCAACAGGUUUGCCAUCUUGUAAUAACACACCUCCGAAUCCAAUUCCACUAGCAUCACAUUCAAGCUCAAAUGUCUUAUUAAAAUCAGGAAGUUGGAGUAAAGGAGCAUGUGUCAACUUAUCUUUCAACACCAUGAAGGCUUCUUCAUGUGCGAUACCUCAAACAAAAGGCACAUCCUUCUUUGUAAGCUCAUUGAGAGGUGCGGCAAUGGUGCUAAAAUCUCUCACAAAACGCCUAUAGAAUCCAGCGAGGCCAAGAAAACCCCUCAAUUGUGUGACCUUUUUGGGUUGCGGCCAACUCUCAAUAGCUUCAAUCUUGGCUUUAUCAACUUCAAUUCCCUGUGGAGUAACAACAGAGCCAAGAAAAGACACUCGGUCGGUGCAAAGGGUGCACUUCCCAAGGUUACCAAACAAACAUGCAUCACGUAGAGCAAUAAAAACAGCACGUAAAUGUUCCAAAUGUUCCUCCGAAGAUCUGCUAUAAAUCAAUAUGUCAUCAAAGUAAACUACCACAAAUCUUCCAAUGAAAGCACGUAAAACUUCAUUCAUUAAUCUGAUGAAAGUACUAGGUGCAGUAGUUAACCCAAAAGGCAUGACUAACCACUCAUAUAAUCCAAAGUUAGUUUUAAAUGUUGUUUUCCAUUCAUCUCCCAAUUUCAUACGAAAUUGAUGGUAUCCACUACUCAAAUCAACUUUCGAGAAUAUUGUAGAGCCACUCAAUUCAUCAAGCAUAGCAUCUAGUGUUGUACGGUGGAACUCUAAGUGAAGAUCUUUCACGAAUUGGAGGGGGAAUCCCCAAGAACAAGAUGAACACAAGAGAGAAAAUAAGAGGAACACUCAAGAACAAGUCCAAUCACACAUCCACUAGACCAACAAACACACAAGAUCCACAAGGUACAUGAACAAUCAAAGGGAAACAAGAUACAUGGUAGAGUUCAUCCCAAAUCCUAUGAAGGAGAUGGGGGCUUGAUGAUCUAGGUAGAUCCUUCCCUCAAGGGGGGCUUGAAUCCCUAGGGAUCUUCUCCAAUGGAGGUCUUGUACUCCAAUGGAGUCUUCUCUCUCAAGAGGAAUCCCACAAGGGGAGGUACAUGAGCUAAGCUCUAUGAUUUGUGUCUAUUCUUAGUUGUCCUCUAAAUGACAUAGGUGGGAGGUACUUAUAGUCUAGGGACGAAAUAGAGGGAGAGGGGGAUACAAAGGUCCAAAAUGACCCUCAAAACGCACACACACUCGGAUGGGUCCGGGCACCCGGGGCAAAGGGGUCCGGGCACCUGGACUGGACAAAGGCGCGCGCCAGGUGGGGCCGGGCACACGGGGCUGCAAGGGUCGGGCACCCGGACUGGGCCGAGGGCCAGCUGGAGAGGGGCCGGGCACCCGGGGUGCCAAGCCCGGGCACCCGGGGGGAGGCAGCAACUCUAGUGCAGGGGCCGGGCACCCGGGGCCAGCUGGCCGGGCACCCGGGGGUGGCGGCUGCAGCGCCCAGCAGCAGGGCUGGGAACCCGGGGCCAGCCAGGCCGGGCAGCCGGGGCGUCCAGGGAGGGGGCCGGCCAUCUGCUAGGGGACCGGGCACCCGGGGAUGUCCACGUCCGGGCACCCGAAGUGUCCAAGGGCCUCCGGUCUUCUCGUUCUUCACGCUUCUCUCCUUCUCCUUCUUCUUGUGUGUCCGGGUCUUCGUCCUCGCCUCCACACGGUCAUCUCCUCGAUACCUGAGAGUGCAAUAUAUCUCUGUUUGAGGUAGGACCCAGUUCACAUGUGAAAUCGAAUGGAGUUCGAAGAGGAAAGAAGUGACCUCGGUUUCGACGGUGCAUGUGCGAGCUCUCGACGUAGGUCCUUUCCAUGUUUGUGGAGUGUUGUGACAUCCAUGGUGAUGGUUGAGGGAUGAUCUGCAUCAUCUUUCCCCCUUGGGAGAGAUCCAUCCACGGAUCCUGAUCCUCAUCACCAUGGUAACGAGGUGGCGUCGCCGUGUAGAAGUGGACAACCCCCAAGCACUUGUCAUGUGGAAGCUCGAAAUGGUCACUCUCCAAUGUCGCACCGUCUUGUAAUUCCUUUAAAAGGAGCAAAGAUAACAAGCACGUGGAAAACAAAUGUGGUUGGCAUUAAAGCAAAACCAAGCAUCCAAGAGGUGAUUCACCAAGCAAGUGUCGUCAUCAAGCAUAGCAUAUGGUUUGACAAGGGAGUGUGGCAUAGCAUGUAAGCACAUAAAUUUAUCAUAUGGAGAAGCAUCAUGGAAAUGAUCAUGCAAGGGUGAGGUAAAGGUUCUAAUAUGUGGGACAAGUGAACAAGCAUCUACCUCAAUGUCAUGGCAAGCGUGCAUUAGGGGCUCAACAAACGGUCGAUGGUAUGCAUAAGAAGCAUUCACAACACCAAAUAAGAGAAGAUGUCUAAACACAUGGGGUAAGUGCAAGACAAUCCAAUCAUAAUGUGCACAUGGUGUAGUAAAAAUCGAGUGGCACUCAACACGAUAGCAAGAGCAAUUGUUCAUCAUGUGUGAGGCAAUCAAAUCAAUCAUGUGAUAAGCAAUGGGACAUGGCAUAAGUGAAGUAACGACAUUGUUGCAACCAAGCAUGUUAUAGGACCAAGUAAUCCAAGAAUUGGAUGCAACAUGAGAAAGCAUAGGAAUCAAGUCGUGUGAACUAGUGGAGCGAAGAUGCAACACACUAGAGGAAAUCAUGGCAAUCAUGUCAUGUGUGCAAGUAGUAGGCAUAGGCAAUGCACAUGACAUAUCGCAAGCAUGAACACAAAGCAAGAUCAUAGUAUCAUCAUAGGCAUAGGUCAUAGGUAGAACCUGGCAAUAACAAGCAAUAUCUCCACCAAGCUUGCAAAUACACAUACACAUAGUAGAAUCAAUCAUCAUGUGUAAUGCAAAGCAUGGGUCACAAAUGCAUGGCAAAGGCAUAGUAAUGAGCAUAUCAUGCAAAGUGAACAUGGUAAUAUGGGCAUAAAGUGAGAAGUGGUAAAUAACCCAUAACCAUGCGAGAGCCAUGUAGAAGAAAUGCCUGAAGUCUUUGCGCGAAGAGAGCAGUGGGAAAGACACUCCAAGGGAUCCCAAGCCAUCGUUGCUCUCAAGAGCUCGUUUUGUCAACUCGUGGGAUUGCGAGGUUGACAAGUAUUCGUGGGUACCUACACGAAAGAGACACAAACCAAAGAAAGUGUGUGCGUGGUAAAUGUACACAUCAUCCAUCAUGAUGUGUAUGUGCAUGUGUGAGUUAGCACAAGAUAAGCAUCGCUCAAAGAAAUUUGAGGCAUGGUAGAGAAAUAUGUCAUCCAUCAUGCAAUGAUAGUUAUUGUGUUCAACAUGAUUUGGACGCAAAUUAUAGCAAGUGUGUGACACAACAAUAGCAUUUUCAUUCAUGGGGAGCAUAUGGUGCACACACGUAGUGAGAUCAUGCAAUGGAUAGGAUGAAUCAAAAUCUCCUAAAAUGUAUGAGGAAACUAUGGGGGUGUCCUCAUGAGCAAUAGUGGAAACAUGAUAUGGAGAAAAUGGAGAACAUCCAAAACAAUGCAUAUCCAAAGCUAGGUGGUCAUGGCAUGACAUAUGAGAUAAAUGAUGCAAAGGGAGCAUAUCCAUAUUAUCACAAGAAAAACAAAUGCCAAUAACCAUGGCUUGUCAUCUAUGCCAUAUGUGCAAAUUGGGUUUAUGUUGAUGGUAUAUGCAUAGUCACUACGAUGAGAUUGCAAAUAUGACAUAUUGUUGAUCUCAUGCAUAGCAUAUGACAAGUCAAGUGGAUUAUCAAACAUGAUGUGACCAAAAGAAUUAUCACAAGAAAUCCUAUGUAACAUGGCAUCGCAACUACUAGACUCCGCAUGGCAAUCAUCAAACUCAUCAUAAAUGGGUAAAUCAUCGCAUGGGGAAAUCAUACUAGCAUGAAGCAUGGUAAUAGGUGGAGCAACAUCAUGCAAGCAAUCAAUGUCAAGAACGUCCACUAGUGGGACAAGAGCAUCACCUUCACCUAUGUUACCUUUCUCGUUCCACUCAAGUGGUGUAGCUGAGGUGGGAAAGACCAAGGCAUGGUCAACGUCAUCAUCGUGAUGGAACCAUGUGGGGGUGCAUCAUAGUCCACCAUGGCCAUUGUCUUGUCCAUAGGAAGGACGAAGUCAUCGCGGAUCAGCGCAUAAUCAUAUAUGGGACCUAGCACCAAAUGAGAAGACACCAUAGAGGUAGAGGUUAAGUUGUUAGAAAUCGAAAUGACCUCACUCUCUCUAUGUGGUGGUGGCUCACUCACUCCCUCAAGGUAGGUGCACUCAAUGUCACAUAUGGUGGAGUCACUCAUCUCACUCGAGUGGUGGGGGUUGUGGCUCUCCUCACACGGAAAUUGUGGCAACUCAUCAUAUAUGGGGCUAGUGGUGAAGUCACUCUCUCUCUCUCAAUAUGGUGGCACAAGUCACUCAAGUCAUCAUACGUUGCCGUGGUCGAAGGGAAAAUCCCAUGCUCAGCCAUCUCGUUGUCGUCGCCGUGGAUGAAGGCCGAAGAUGGCACAUCAUCGCUCUCCUCCAUGACCGAAGGGAAAAUCCCAUGCUCGAUCAUCUCGUCACCGUCGCCGUGGAGGAAGGCCGAUGUAGGCGUACUCGUCGGAGGUUGGCGAAGAUGCCAUACGUCCAAAGGCGAAGAUGCCUUGAUGACACUUGGCAAAGAUGCCGAAGUGGUCGUAGUAGUCGUAGCUCCAUCUUGGUGGUGCUUGUCUCGUGGUCUUAUCUUUUGCUCAUGAUGGCUGGUCGUAGCUUGAUGUAGAGCUUGUUGGGACUUGUAGGUGUACGCAUCGCGAGCAGCUUCAUCUUGAUGGUGUUGUAGUGCUUGAGCUCGAUGACUUUCCGAAGAUUGGCCACUUGAGCGUCGCCGCCUUGAAGAUGACAAAGGGGAAGAAGACUUGUAGUUGGCCACCAUGUCUCGUACUUGAUCCCUUUGUUUGGCCAACUUGGUGUCGAGGUAGUCCCUUAUCCUUGCUUCGUUUUGGCGAAUGUCGAUGGCGAGUCGCUCAAUGCCUUGCAUUGCACGUUGUAGUCCGAAGAUGGACGUUUUGGUGAUGUAGUUGUUCGCAUUGUGGUUGUCGUGGAAGACCGAAGAUGAAAUGCCUUGCCUAUCCAUCACAAGACUCGAGUAGAGGUGAGUAGGAAAUGAGAUAAACAAUACCAAGUUACCUUUUCCCAAAGUUGAGGAUGUAUCCCGUUUAACUCAAUGUGAGAUGAAAGAAUAGUGGAAUUGGUACCGGACUUGUUCACUCACACCUAUCAAGUAAAGCUUAUGGUGGAGCUCGGUGAGGAUAGUGGCACAAAAAUUUGAUGCAAAAUGUUAGCAAGAUUCAAUAAUGUUGGAAAAGAUUCACAAAUUCGCAAGUGAAACAAGUAGACCAAUGGCAAUAUGUGGCACACGGAAACACACUCACGCAUAGACAAAUGGGGUCGUGCAACCAAGUAAUGAGCACAAAAUGUGGAAUCCACGGAAAACGCUCGUGUUGCACAACUCAAGAGAGACGCUAGCACGAUUGCUCAAUAGGCGGAUACGACACUUGUGCACAACCUAUAAGAUGCAAAAUGUAUGAGCCUUCGAUCCCAAGUAUGCUCUGUGUAUGAUGUUCCCGGUGUUCUUCUCAAGAUGAUCCAAGAUGAUCGGAUAUGACAAUCUUAUGUGCAAUGUGGUAUGAUGCUGUGGCUCUUGCUCGCAAGCUCUUUGCUCUCUUUUUUGCUUAAAAGCUUAUUCUUUUUUUAUAUGGCCACUUAUACGAAAUGCACAAACCAAGAUAGCAAUUGUGUAUAUGCGAGAACGAUCUUGUGACACAAGGGAUGAUAUGAUGAUACCAAGAUGAUACCAAUAUGAUAUGGUAUGUAUGCAAUGGAAGGUAUGGAUCACUAAUGUGCACAAGUAACGUUACCGGCAAUACUCAAAUGGCUAGUCUCAAUAGGCAAGUGACGCAAAAUGGGCUAAAGGGUUAACAAUGUAAUGGCAAGAAUGUACAAUGAGGGGAUACCACAAUACCAAGGUGAUACGGAGGUUACCGUUCUUGCUUACGGUUAGGUUGUCAAAAUGGUGAAGUGGUCGAUGUCGGUAAUGACAUCGUGGCGAUGAUGAGUGGCAGUGUUCUUGAUGUAGAUACCAAGAUGAUGUAGAUACCAAGAUGAUGUAGACCCGUCCCUAAGUAGCCGAAACACCUUAGGAAACGGUAAAAACCCGCGAACUCAAAAUCUCAAGGAAAAUGUCAAAUGGUGGUAGCGGAAUGUGUUGGUGGUUCCGAAGUUAGCAAUGCGGAAGUGGUGGUGGUGGUUGAUGAUGAAGCAACCGUCCCUAAGUAUCCGAAACACCUUAGGAGACUCAAGUCACCACUCAAGCAACCACAAAUGCUAUAUGGAUCGAAAAUGGGUUAGGUUGCGGAAAGCUAUGGUGGUUUUGCGGAUGAUAUGGUGGAUGGCCUAGGCAAAGAUGCCAAAAUGCCAAAUUUUGAUGGAGUCAAAUGGUUUUGAAACCUAUCUAUAUGGAUGGGGGAUGUCAAUAGCUACUCAAUGAGCUAAAGAACGUCAAAAACGGACUCCGGGAGUGAAAGUUAUGGCCGAAACGGUGAAUGUUGGUGGGCUGAUUCGGGGGGUGCGGGCACCCGGGGGUGAGAGGUGCGGGUGCCCGGGGUGGUCAGCGAGGCAAACAGCCCGGGGGUGCGGGUGCCCGGGGUUUGGGGUGGGGGCACCCGGGGUGGUCAGCGGGGGUGGGCGGGGGGGUCCGGGUGCCCGGGGGUUGAGGUCCGAGUGCCCGGGGGUGUCGGGUUUGGGCGGAAAUUCAUGGAUAAAUGGAAGAAAUUUAUGGAUUUCGUGGAGGGAAAGGUGGAGAUGGAUGGGGGGAAUGCUAGAUCCACUUGAAGCCAAGCAAAUCCAUGGAUCAAAUCCAACAAAAUCUCAUCAAACCAACAAAUCACAAAAAAAAUUGGGGCUAUUUUGGGUGGGGAAUUUUUGAAAUUGGGGAAGAACACAACAAAAUUAAGCAAGAGAACAAGAUGGGGGCCUCCAAUUUCAUGAGAAACCAUGGCUCAUGAUGCCAAGAUGUUGUAGGGUGGAACCCUAAGUGGAGAUCUUUCAUGAAUUGGAGGGGGAAUCCCUAAGAACAAGAUGAACACAAGAGAGAAAACAAGAGGAACACUCAAGAACAAGUCCAAUCACACAUCCACUAGACCAACAAACACACAAGAUCCACAAGGUACAUGAACAAUCGAAGCGAAACAAGAUACAUGGUAGAGUUCAUCCCAAAUCCUAUGAAGGAGAUGAGGGCUUGAUGAUCUAGGUAGAUCCUUCCCUCAAGGGGGGCUUGAAUCCCUAGGGAUCUUCUCCAAUGGAGGUCUUGUACUCCAAUGUAGUCUUGUCUCUCAAGAGGAAUCCCACAAGGGGAGGUACAUGAGCUAAGCUCUAUGAUUUGUGUCUAUUCUUAGCUAUCCUCUAAAUGAGAUAGGUGGGAGGUACUUAUAGUCCAGGGACGAAAUAGAGGGAGAGGGGGAUACAAAGGUCCAAACUGACCCUCAAAACGCACACACACUCGGAUGGGUCCGGGCACCCGGGGCAAAGGGGUCCGGGCACCUGGACUAGACAGAGGCGCGCGCCAGGCGGGGUCGGGCACCCGUUCUGGGCCGAGGGCCGGCUGGAGAGGGGCCGGGCACCCGGGGUGCCAAGCCCGGGCACCCGGGGGGAGGCAGCAGCUCAAGUGCAGGGGCCGGGCACCCGGGGAGGCGGCUGCAGCGCCCAGCAGCAGGGCCGGGCACCCGGGGCCAACCAGGCCGGGCACCCGGGGCGUCCAGGGAGGGGGCCGGUAGGCUGCUAGGGGACCGGGCACCCGGGGAUGUCCACGUCCGGGCACCCGAAGUGUCCAGGGGCCUCCGGUCCUCUCGUUCUUCACACUUCUCUCCUUGUCCUUCUUCUUGUAUGUCCGGGUCUUCAUCCUCGCCUCCACACGGUCAUCUCCUCGGUACCUGAGAAUGAAAUAUAUCUCCGUUUGAGGUAGGACCCGGUUCACAUGUGAAAUCGCAUGGAGUUCGAAGAGGAAAGAAGUGACCUCGGUUUCGAUGGUGCAUGUGCGAGCUCUCGGCGUAGGUCCUUUCCAUGCUUGCGGAGGUGGUGUGACAUCCAUGGUGAUGGUUGAGGGAUGCUCCGCAUCAUCUAGCCUAGGAAUAGGAUGACGAUAACAAAUAGUAAUAUUAUUAAUGCCUCUACAAUCAACGCACAUACGCAGAGUACAAUCCUUUUUCGGCACUAAAAUCAUAGGAACAUCACAAGGACUAACGGAUUCGCGUAUAAAAACUUUGUCGAGCAGCCCCUGUACUUGACGCAUAAUCUCCGUCAUCUCGUCUGGAUUGGUACAGUAUGGUGCACGAUUAGGUAAUGAUGUGCCAGGAAUUAAGUCAAUCUGAUGCUCAAUCCCUCGAAUGGGAGGUAAUCCUAGUGGCACGUCUUGUGGAAAGACAUCAGCGAACUCCUGCAAAAAUGUUAGUGACAGCAGGAGGCAAAGAGGAAGGCACGUCCUCGAAUGAAAAUAAUGCCUCUUUGCACACAAAAGCAUAGCAAACAAAUUUGCUGAAACCUAGCUCAUCAAUAUCAGAUUUGGUGGCAAGUAAACAUGCACUUUUCAAUUUAAUUUCAGAAGCAACACUAGAUGGUUUAUUAUUAGGCUUCAUUUGUUGCUCAAAUUCUUUUGCCACAAUCUGAUUUUCACUCUUAUUUUUCUCCUGUUUUGCUUUACUAGCUCUAUUAAUAUCAUCUUUUAAAAUGGAAUCAGCAGUCAUAGGAAGCAAAGUAAUAUUUUUAUCCUUAUGGACAAGAGUAUACUGAUUGUUUCUACCAUGGUGUACAGAAUUUUUAUCAAAUUGCCAUGGUCUACCAAGUAAUAAGGAACAUGCUUGCAUAGGUACCACAUCACAAUCAACACAAUCAGCAUAUGUAGAGAUACUAAAAUGCACACGAACAGUACGUGUUACUUUCACCUUGCCGUUGUUGCUGAACCAUUGGAUGUAGUAAGGAUGUGGAUGUGGUCUUGUGGUGAGAGAUAGCUUCUCCACCAUCUCCUUGCUAGCCAAGUUGUUGCAUCUCCCUCCAUCUAUGAUGACGCGAACAGAACGUUCCUUCACAACUCCCUUUGUAUGGAACAAAUUAUGCCUCUGAUUUUGCUCAGCUUAUGUAACCUGCACACUCAAAACACAUUGAGCAACUAAACAUUCAUACCUGUCAGCGUCUUCAGGAGCCAUGUAUUGCGUCUCAUGACCAGAAUCAUCUCCACCGUGUUCUUCACUUGUAAUAAGAGCCAAAGUCUCCUCAUCAUAGUCACUAGCGGACUCAUACCCACCAUCCUCAGUAGCAAUCAUCACACGCUGAGAUUUGCAUUCUCGCGCAUAAUGCCCUCUUCCCUUACAACAGCGACAAAUAAUAUCACUUGUGUGCCCUGUUGAUGCCAUGGAAGAAGAGCUCUGUGCAGGCCCGGCAGGUGCGCUCUUGGCGGAUAGUGGUGGUUGUGCCUGCUUUCUUGUAUCACGGCUGGAGGUGGCACCUGAUGGUGGUGCUGGUGCAGUGCAAGUAGAAGAUCCACACGGUGUCCUUGAUGAUGGCCGACCUACAGAAAAGUUAGUUCGCGCCAAUGCUUGUCGAUCCUGCACUUCACGUUUAGCUUUACAAGCGAGAUGGAAUAAACGAGUGAUAUUAGUAUACUCCUUAUACUCUAGAAUGGUAUGAAUCUCUCUAUUUAAUCCACCCAUAAAACGUGCAAGCAUAGCUUCAUUCUCCUCAACAAUACCACAUCUAAUCAUGCCAGUUUGUAAUUCCUGAUAAUAUUCUUCUACAAUUUUUUUCCUUGUCUUAAACGCUGCAAUUUUUGAAGCAAUUCACAAUUAUAAUAUGGUGGGACCCAACGAGUACGCAUAGUAGUUUUCAAAGCAGCCCAAGUAGCUGGAAUAGGAUAUAAUUUGCAACGUUCAGACCACCAAACACAUGCAAAACUAUUGAAAGCAUAAACAGCAGCAGGAACACGUCUCUCCUCAGGAUAUUAUAAACAUGUAAAACGUUGUUUAGUUUCUAACUCCCAAGUAAGAUAUAUAUCAGGAACAUAUCUACCCUCAAAUGGUGGAAUAUUCAAUUUUAGUUUAGGAAAAUUGGCAUGAUCUCGUACCUCAGGUGGUGGUGCAGCCCUACCGUUGCGAUGAUAUGCAUGAGGAUGACCUGGUGGUGGUGGUGCUGGUGGUUGCACAUAGUUCUGAUUUUGAUCAACCUCAUCCUCGUACUGGUCCACCACCUUGGCAGUAGCAACAGGAGCUACAGAAGCAUCAAUAGUAGGUACAGCGGCACUAGAAUUUUUUUCACUUUAUUUUGCACUUUUUUCCACUUUUUUUUGCUCCGCAACAAUUUUUUUUCAAAAAAUUCUACAAAUGGUCUAAAAACUGCCCAGCUAGAAUUUUCCAGACUUGGGCUUUUUUUUGAAACUGGAACUAUUUUUUAUGUAUAAGUAGCAAGAAAGUUCGGGAGUCCUACUCUGUCAUGACUCGGAGUAUGGCUUGAUCUCGAAAACCAAAACAGAGUAACAAAAUACUGGACUCGGACUAGAACUAGUGGCGGAGAUGAAUCUGGUGGAACUCAGACUGAUGGCGGAGAUGCUGGUGGAACUUGGACUGGUGGCGGAUAUAUGUUGCAGGUGGAAUCGGAUUGGCGUGAUGGCGGUGGAUAUGUGGUGGUGUAUAUGGACGCGGAUUGGCGGUGAAUAUGUGGUGGUGGUGUAUGGCAACGGCGAUGAAGUUGGUACGGUGGUGCUAUAUGGCAGCAGCAAUGAUGAUGAUGCAGUGGUGAUAUAUGGCAGCGGCGACGUGACAACCUGUGAACAGAACUCGAAACUCUAAAGGACUAACGCUAAGACCGGCAACUUGACACGAUGAUGCAACCGCAAAUUCAACAAAGCAAAUACAGAAAAGAUUAUGCAAAGGCUCAGAUUGGUUCGGAUAGGAUGAACUAACCCUAAUUUUUUUGGCUUUUUCAUGGACUGUAGGUAUGAAGAAACAGACUCGAUCUAAACUCUGAAAAACUGUAAAAUCUCACCGAGCAACCUGAAAAUCUGAUACCACUUGAUAGAGGCAAAGGUGUCCUGAUGUUUCGAUGAGAUGGUGGCUAUCGUUUUCUGUGGGAGUCGACCUUUAUGAUCCGACUACGAACGUGCGAGAUGCCGCACCUUAGCAAUCGCUAAACCAACUUCUGAGAGGUUAUUGACCAUGCUGGAGCACGAUCAACCUAACCACGAGGGUCUGUUUCCUGUGAGCAAACGAAGAACAAGCAAGAAACUGAGAUUGCAAUCUGGAUAUUGCGAAUAUAAGAGGAAAGCUUUAUUAAUGAAGGUGGGGUUCUGUGACGUCUUGGUCUGGUCGUUCAACACAAACGAAGUAUGCAAAGUUGCAACUAUGGCAAACUUUUAAUCUAAACAAAACCCUAAGUCUAAACGAUGCCCUAAGGGUUGUAUAUAUGGAGGAAGAGGGGGGGAUUUCGUGGCCCUUGAGGGAGGGGUUCGAAACCGACCCUAACUCUUGUUUCCCCACACAUACGGACUCUAAAAAUAGCCUACAAUCAAGUAUUUCGAAAUUACAUGGGCCUGGACCAAUAAUAAGGUGACGCAGCACCUAGAAUAGCCUGUGGACGAAAAUUAUGAAGUAGCAUCUUGUAUAUUUCGUCCAAGGCUUCGUGCACUCAUUAUGGUGGCUUCAACGUCCUGAAAUCAUCACUUGUAACUCCGUUCUUGUUCCCCUUGCGCACGCCAUCAUCCCCAUGCUUGUUCUUGCUCCAAUGUUCAUCCUUCUCCAAGCUAGGCCCUUCAUUUGUAAGCAAAACAAAUGUAUCCAAUUUAGGCAGCAUCAUAUUCUCAUGAACAUUAGAAUCAUUACCAAGAAACGAAAGUACCCGGUAAUUUAAUUGGCCUGCGCGAGCUCUAGUAAUUGGUCCAGUAUGUAUAACAGCAGGGGUUGUGGGUGUAACAAUGGUAUUGAUGUCCUCAUCACUCUUGCCGCCCUAGUUUCCGUCAUACCGGUGUUAUGUUCCUUGAUUUUGCGUUCCUAACAUGGUCAGGGUUUAUGGGCCCCCUUGACAGUUCGCUUUGAAUAAAACUCUUCCAGCAAGGCCCAACUUUGGUUGUACCAUUUGCCUAAUAACAACUAAAACUUGCAUAGGGACUUUCCGGACCCUGAGGAUAAUUAAUCAACAACCCGGGCCAUUGCUCCUCAUGAGUGUUGGUCCAAAACAGAGCACCUUGUGGCGCCCCCUUGGCAACUUGGGUCUCAGCGACUGUAAGCUUCGCUCAUCCGUCGUGGCCUGAGACGAGAUACGCACGGCUACUAUCAGGGUGCCGGCACGUCGGGAGGUCUUGUUGGUUUUGUUUUACCAUUGUCAAAAUGUCUUGUGAACCAGGAUUCCGAGCUUGAUCGGGUUGUUCUGGAAGGAGGUUUUUCGUCCGUGGAUCGUGAGAGUUUGUGAUGGACUAAGUUGGGACUCCGGUUGUAGAGAACUUGACGCCAGAUCCGAAAUAAAAUACAUCAACCAUGUGUUUAACCGUGACUAUCUCUUUUCGAGUGAGUUCGAGAAGAGAACACGGUGGGGUUAUGUUUGACUUGUAGGUAGUUCAGAAUCACUUAUUAAUCAUUACUAGUUUGCGACCAUUGUCGGUGUCAAAACCGGCGGAUCUCGGGUAGGGGGUCCCGAUCUGUGCGUCAAGGCUGAUGGUAACAGGAAGCAAGGGACACAGAUGUUUACCCAGGUUCGGGCCCUCUCGAUGGAGGUAAAACCCUACUUCCUGCAUGAUUAAUAUUGAUGAUAUGGGUAGUACAAGAGUAGAUCUACCACGAGAUCGUAGAGGCUAAACCCUAAGAGCUAGCCUAUGAUGGUAUGAUUGUAAUUGUGAUCGGCCUUCUAAGGACCAACCUCUCCGGUUUAUAUAGACACCGGAGAGGGCUAGGGUUUACAUGGAGUCGGUUACAAGGAAGGAAACACAAUAUCCGGAUCGCCAAGCUUGCCUUCCACGCCAAGGAGAGUCCCAUCCGGACACGGGCCAAAGUCUUGAGUCUUGUAUCUUCACGCUCCAAUAGUCCGUACAAAGUAUAUAGUCCGGCUGUCCGAAUACCCCCUAAUCCAGGACUCCCUCAGUAGCCCCUGAACCAGGCUUCAAUGACGAUGAGUCCGGCACGCAGUAUUGUCUUCGGCAUUGCAAGGCGGGUUCCUUCUUCGAAUACUCCAAAGUAGUUAUCGAACACGUAGACCGUGUCUGGAUCUGCAAGAUGAUCUUCACAUAGCAUAAACCCGAUCCGUUGGCAAUCUUCGGGCGUCGUGCCCUUGCAUCAUGGCCUGGUCCAACAUGAACCGGUGUUUCUUACCCCACCUCGACUCGUGUUACGAGGCGGUUUUAUUGGCACGUCCCGUCGAGGCAGAGAUCGUGUUCCUCUUAUUAUGGGAUUUUCCAUAAAUAUGGGCGUGCGUGCCCCCACAAUGGCCGUUGGUAUAACUCCUUGUGUUUCUACAUAAGCCUCAAACGGUCACACCAAGGACUCUUGAUAUUCACCCCCUUUAUAAAGGGGUCGAGACCUAUGCCUCUUUUCCACCUUCCUCGUGCCUUCUCGCACCUCGAGUUCUAACACUCGAAACCCAAGCUUCAACACCCCAGAUCCUCCAAUAUGUCCGGAUCUGUCCCUCAAGGCCGGUGGGCGGCCUCCUUGAUUCAGGAGGACGACAUUGUGAAGCUUAGGGAGGUCGGAUACCUGACUGCCGACAUCCAGCACAGGCUUCCUGCUCCAGGGCAGGUCAUCCCCACACCGGAGCCUAAUGAGUGCGUCAUUUUUGUCCCACACUUCCUUCACGUCUUGGGCUUUACCCUCGAUCCCUUUGUGAGGGGGCUCAUGUUCUAUUAUGGGUUGGAUUUUCAUGAUCUGGCUCCAGACGCUAUCCUCCAUAUCUCGUCGUUCAUUAUCGUGUGCGAGGCUUUUCUCCACGUCACCCCACACUUCGGCUUAUGGCUUAAGACCUUCGAUGUGACGCCGAAGAUGAUCGAGGGGCGACAUGUGGAGUGCGGAGGUGCUGUAAUAAGCAGGAACGCCGAUGCCCCAUGGCCAGAGUGUUCUUUUCAAGAAGUAUCCGAUGUAUGGCAAUGGAGGUGGUUUUAUGUCAUGGCCCCUAGAGGCACAAAGUGGGUGGCUGCCCCCGAGUUCCGCUCGGGCCCUCCAUCGCAGUUGGCGUCUUGGACAGACGUAGGACGGAAUUGGGGGCUCGCUGGUGAUGUACCAGUACUGCAGAAUCACAUCCGGGAGCUUCUUGGGAGGGACAUUAACCUCGUCAGCAUAAUGCAAGUCAUGUUAAUCCGACGGAUGUUGCCAUGCCAACGUCGGCCUCUCCGGAUGUGGGAGUUCAAUCCGGAGGGUCCGUGGACUAUCAAGCUGAUGAGGACAUCAAUACCAUUGUUACACCCACAGCCCCUGUUGCUAUACAUACUGGACCAAUUACUAGAGCUCGCGCACGCCAACUAAAUUACCAGGUACUUUCGUUUCUUGGUAAUGAUUCUAAUGUUCAUGAGAAUAUGAUGCUGCCUAAAUUGGAUACAUUUGUUUUGCUUACAAAUGAAGGGCCUAGCUUGGAGAAGGAUGAACAUUGGAGCAAGAACAAGCAUGGAGAUGAUGGCAUGCGCAAGGGGAACAAGAACGGAGUUACAAGUUAUGAUUUCAGGACUUUGAAGCCACCAUAAUGGGUGCAUGAAGCCUUGGACGAAAUAUACAAGAUGCCACUUCAUAAAUUUCGUCUAGAGGCUAUUCUAGGUGCUGCAUCACCUUAUUAUUGGGCCAGGCCCAUGUAAUUUCGAAAUACAUAAGUAUAGGCUAUUUUUAGAGUCCGUAUGUGUGGGGAAACAAGAGAUAGGGUUGAUUUCGGACCCCUCCACCAAGGGCCACGAAAUUCCCCCCUCUUCCUCCAUAUAUACAGCCCUUAGGGCACCGUUUAGACUUUGGGUUUUGUUUAGAUUAAAGUUCGCCAUAGCUGCAACUUCGCGUACUUCGUUUGUGUUCAACGACCAGACAAAGGCAUCACAGAACCCCACCUUGAUCAAUAAAGCCUUCAUCUUAUAUUCGCAAUAUCCAGAUUGCAAUCUCAGUUUCUUGCUUGUUCUUCGUUUGCUCGUAGGAAACAGACCCUCGUGGUCAGGUUGAUCGUGCUCCGGCGUGGUCAAUAACCUCUCGGAGUUGGUUUAGCGAUUGCUAAGGUGCGACGUCCUCGCACGUUCAUAGUCGGAUCAUCAAAGUCGACUUCCACCAAAGCGAUAGCCAUCAUCUCAUCGAAAGACGAGACACCUUUGCCUAUAUCAAGUGGUAUCAGAUUUCCAGGUUGCUCGGUGAGAUUUUACAGUUUUUCGUAGUUUAGAUCGAGUUUGUUCUCCAUACCUGUAGUCCACGAAAAAGCCAAAAAAAAUUAGGGUUAGUUCAUCCCAUCCGAACCAAUCUGAGCCUUUGCAUAAUCUUUUAUGUAUUUGCUUUGUUGAAUUUGCGGUUGCAUCGUCGUGUCAAGUUGCUGGUCUUAGCGUCUAGUCUUUUAGAGUUUCGAGUUCUGUUCACAGGUUGUCACGUCGCUGCUGCCAUAUACCACCACCACAUAUUCACCGCCAAUCCGAAUCCAUAUACGCCACCAUAUAUCCGUCGCCAUCACGCCCAUGCGAGUCCACCUGCAACAUAUAUCCGCCACCAGUCCGAGUUCCACCAGAUUCAUCUCCGCCACCAGUCCGAGUUCCACCAGUUUCAUCUUCGCCACCAGUCCUAGUCCGAGUCCAGUAAUUGUUGCAUUGUUCUCGAUUUCCAGAUCACGCGAUACUCCGAGUCGUGACAGCGGAGGACUCCCCAACUUCCGAGCCAUCCGCAGAAGAAAAAUAGUUCCAGUUUCAAAAAAAAAACUAAGUCUGGAAAAUUCUGGCUAGGCAGUUUUUAGACCAUUUGUAGACUUUUUCGAAAAAAAAUUGUUGCGGAGCAAAAAAAAAGGAAAAAAAG